GGGCGGGGGUUGACCUAUACAUGCAAGUCGAGCGAAUGGAUUAAGAGCUUGCUCUUAUGAAGUUAGCGGCGGACGGGUGAGUAACACGUGGGUAACCUGCCCAUAAGACUGGGAUAACUCCGGGAAACCGGGGCUAAUACCGGAUAACAUUUUGAACCGCAUGGUUCGAAAUUGAAAGGCGGCUUCGGCUGUCACUUAUGGAUGGACCCGCGUCGCAUUAGCUAGUUGGUGAGGUAACGGCUCACCAAGGCAACGAUGCGUAGCCGACCUGAGAGGGUGAUCGGCCACACUGGGACUGAGACACGGCCCAGACUCCUACGGGAGGCAGCAGUAGGGAAUCUUCCGCAAUGGACGAAAGUCUGACGGAGCAACGCCGCGUGAGUGAUGAAGGCUUUCGGGUCGUAAAACUCUGUUGUUAGGGAAGAACAAGUGCUAGUUGAAUAAGCUGGCACCUUGACGGUACCUAACCAGAAAGCCACGGCUAACUACGUGCCAGCAGCCGCGGUAAUACGUAGGUGGCAAGCGUUAUCCGGAAUUAUUGGGCGUAAAGCGCGCGCAGGUGGUUUCUUAAGUCUGAUGUGAAAGCCCACGGCUCAACCGUGGAGGGUCAUUGGAAACUGGGAGACUUGAGUGCAGAAGAGGAAAGUGGAAUUCCAUGUGUAGCGGUGAAAUGCGUAGAGAUAUGGAGGAACACCAGUGGCGAAGGCGACUUUCUGGUCUGUAACUGACACUGAGGCGCGAAAGCGUGGGGAGCAAACAGGAUUAGAUCCUUUGGU
This 776-nucleotide ribosomal RNA is filed under the name Bacillus cereus. RNAcentral describes it as "bacterial SSU rRNA". It matches the Rfam family "Bacterial small subunit ribosomal RNA", at positions 37 to 791 of the family's 1533-position model. The record is from RNAcentral. Lineage: Bacteria; Bacillati; Bacillota; Bacilli; Caryophanales; Bacillaceae.